Non-coding RNA from Bactrocera oleae (olive fruit fly), 3862 nucleotides. Lineage: Eukaryota; Metazoa; Arthropoda; Insecta; Diptera; Tephritidae. The record is from RefSeq and is a predicted model, not a curated record.
UGUAACGGAAAGAUUUUCUUUUUCUUUUAAAAUUUAUAUAAUAAAAUUAAACAUAUUCAAUGAAAAUCUAACUAUUUGUGAAAAAGGAAAUAAAUUUUACGGGAAAACAAAGCCUAGAUAUAAUAAAUAAACAGUUAAACAAGAUUUAAGAAAUAAAGUAAUGACUAAGGGAAAAAUAGAAUUAUUCGCAAGGAUAAUAUAAAAUCUUAACUCUUCUAAGUAAAACACAAUCAUACAGAUUAUCAUUCUCUUGUUGAUAUUACCUCUAAUCCAGCCCAGAUAAAAGUAGUGGAUUUGAACCAUGGCGAGGGCUAUUCACAACUGAAAUUGAAUGAAGUUAAACUAAUCGAAAGAUUUAGAAUAACAUACUUAGUAAAUACAACAAUGUACAAAGGUCACGUACCUAAAUAAUUUGGAAAAAUUAAUUUUGGAAAAAACCAAAUCCUUUACUAAUUGCUAAACUCAAAACUAUCAGUAUUCAAAUUGGUACUUUAACUCCACAUCAAUAAAUUAUUAAAAAGUUUAAUAUAUAUUGAAACGUAAUUAGAAUAAAGAAAAUAGUAAUGACUAGCCAAACAGUUUGUUAAGUAUAGAUAUUAUUGCAGAUGAAUAUAUAACUAACUUUAAUGUGACUUUCGAACAACUAAAAGAAAUAAAAAUUAUAAUUGCUGCUAAUUAGUAAAAUUACCUCAAUUUGAAAAAACAUGUAUCAAAAAAUUCAUUCCACCACCAAUACCAAAAUGCAAGACAAAUGGAAAUUUGUAUUAAAUAAAACGAAAUAUUGUCCAUUGAUGAAAUGACUUAUAAGAAGACUAAAUUUAAAGAAGUUUUACGAAAAUAUGAAGAUAAUUGUAUUGCAAAUAUGUUUAAAGGAAAAAUGCACUGCAACUAUGUAAAAAACAAUAAAACCAAAGCUAUUGAACUAGAUACGAAUCAUAUAUUAUAUAAGUACGUUCAAGUAUAGCGUGACUCACACAUCUAACCGGAUGCGUGCAUUGCCAAUGAUGGUACCAUCUAAUCAUAAAGUCAAAAUCUAAGAAAUGUCACAUACAUCAAAUUAAAGGAAAAAUCUUCUAUUUAAUUUUUGGAAACUUAAAAAUAGUAAUAAAUUAAUUCCACGCGCAAAACUUAGCAAUAUAAGACGCAACAUACAAAACUCGUUCCACAUAAUUAACCGGAAAAUCCUAAUAAAUAAGCUUUUACAAGGAACGGUAUUUUGAGCGUUGUGGAAUUUCAGCUGAACAAAUAUUGAAUGUACUUUUCUGCAUAUUAGUACUUAUCGGCAAGUCUAUGGGCAAGCAACUAGGAUAAUAUGACGCCCCCACGCACUCAUACUUGUACCGAAAUUCAAAUGCUAAUUAUUCCGUUACGGGAAGAAGGAAAACCAUUAAAGAUAUUUCGGAAAUUGUGAAGAGGAGUACUUCAACCGUCUUCGAUAUUAUAAAAAGUAUGAAAAGGAAAAUAGGAUUAAUAAUAUUAGUAGAGCUGGUCAAGGAACGAAGCUAACACAAGCCGAAGAAAAGUUCGUAGUCAAAAUUGUUGAAAAAAACCCCUUUUUCUCGACGGAAAAUGUAAAAAAUAUAUUGGAAAAUGAAAAAGGGAAGAAGGUUUCAGCUGAAACAGUUCGUCGUACCUUUAGAAGCUUCGAUUUACACGGUAGAGCAGUUAUAAAAAGCCGUACAUACCCGAAAAAAAAUAGAAAGAAAAAGCUAGAAUUUGCGAAAUUGCAUUUAAAAAAGCCUGAAGAAUUCUGGCAAAGGGUUCUUUUCACAGCCGAAAGCAAGUUUAACUGAUGGACGCAGUUUUGUAUGGCCAAAACAUACUAGGGCAACUCUUAAGCACGGUGGUGCAUAUGGGUCGGUAAUGGUUUGGAGAUGUAUAUCGGCUAAAAGACCGGGCAACCUCCAUUUUGUGCAAGGUAUUAUGAAUCGUUUCCAAUAUGUUGACAUAUUAAAGGAAAGUGUAUAUAAUCAAUGCUACAAACGAAAUUGUUUAUCACAAUUGUAAUUCAAACAACCUUAACAUAGAUGGAAAUUAUUAAAUUAUGUUUGAAAAUUCGAUGUUAAAGUAAUGGAAACCUUUUACAAAUAUAAAAAUUAAUAGCCUUAGUAUCAUUAGUCGUCACUAUUAUAAUAAUUUGGAAAUUCAAGAAGAAUAGGAAAAACAAGGUGGAAGUAAAUAUUAAACAAGAAAAAAUGUUAACUUUGCUUGGACCGAAGCUAUAGUACCCUCCAUAAAUACAAAAUGUUCCUUAGAAGAAAUUUAUUCCAAUCGUUCAGUUUGUAUGACAGUUAUGUAUAUGCUAUAGUGAUUUGAUCUGAAUCUUCUUUCUUCGGAAAUUGCAUUACUGCCUUAGAUAAUCCAUUCUAAAUGUCGUGAACAUUACAGCUUGUUGGUGAGAAAACAUCAGGUGCAAAAUUUCAGAUCGAUAUCUCAAAAACUGAGGGACUACAUCGCAUAUAUACAGACAGACGGACACUCAGCUCAGUAUGCUGAUCAUUUAUAUAUAUAUUUUAUAGAGUCUCCGACGUUUCCUUCUGAGUGUUACAAACUUCAUGGCUAACUUAAUAUACCCUGUUCAGGGCAUAACAAGUUCUUACACAACCUGUUAAACAACCAAUUGACAUCGCUGAUUUAAAUGAAAGGGUAAAUUACUACUCAUCUUUGAAUCGAGACGAUUCAUUUAACAAAGGGGGGAGUUAUGAAUGAUACAACUUUCCUACCAAAAACUGUUGACACCAUUAAUAUUUGAGGCACCUGCACUGCAAUAUCUAGCUACGGUGGUUUUUGCCUUGUGUGCUGGAGCAGAAUCUCCCUGGCCUUCUCCAAGCCUCUCCAGGGAAGAGCUUUGAAAAUUUGUUCAUCUGUGUAAAGGAUACAACCAUAACGUUGAGCGUGUGUCACUGAAGAAGCCGCUUGCAUCUGUUGAGCCUAACUUGCUUUAAGCGGGUUUUAAGAAAAUUACCAGUUGACUGACGGGGAUUUCUGCGAAUGCGUUCGCGAACAGUAUUUAUGCUGAAUUGGUUCGAACGACGCGAGAACGAAAACCUUACUUCCAGUCAUCAACUGUGGACAUUCUCGAAAUUAAGUUUUUUGGACCUAUACCGAGGAUAUUAGGGGUAGAUCACCUCCACAAAAUCAAACUUACCCAACUUUUAAUGACUUAUUCAUAUAUAAAAUUGUUAUCUCAACGAGUAAUUGACAAUUGAGAUUGUUUCACAAUUGGACUCUACUCACCGCGCAAAGUACAAGUGAAAUCAUUACCGCGCCCAUACGUAAUGAUAUGGAUUCCUGAAUGCCUUGAGCGCGCUUAUCCCAACAGGUGCACUGGGCCAACACCCACGCUGAAGUCAUGAGGAAUUCUAAAAAGCAACCACCGAGAAUAGAGGUCUGUGGUGACAAAUCAGUUACACAAUAGAGAUCUGAUCUCGUCAUUGCCGGUGUUGUGUAAUAAGCCAGUACCAAACCGAGCAUCGUACCUAAGUAUUGCAUAAUCACAUAAAAAAUGGCCAAAUCCCACUUCAGUUGUCCCAUAAUGACGCCGGCAACUGUUAAACAUGGAUUCAUGUAGGCGCCAGAUACACAACCGAAUGUCUGUAUGAUUAUCAUCAAUGCGCAGCCGUCACAGAGACCAUACGACAUUACGCCACCUUCGGCUACUAACGGAUCAAAGCCAUAACAAUGUAACUGCAUCCACAUCGAAGCGGCACAGAAUUCACCAAAAAUUUGUACGAAGAAAAGCUUGUUGAACUUCAUUUGAUGGACGAGGAAUACACUUUGCAAAAAAUCAAGUUAUACAAAAAACUUGUAGGUUUUUAUUACAUCGAGAUAAUGAACAAUAAAAGAAUAUAGAAUUUAUGAA